CUGCGGCAGCGACACUAUGUGUUGUUGGGUAGGGGAGCGUUCUGUAAGCCUGUGAAGGUGUGUCGUGAGGCAUGCUGGAGGUAUCAGAAGUGCGAAUGCUGACAUAAGUAACGAUAAAGCGGGUGAAAAGCCCGCUCGCCGGAAGACCAAGGGUUCCUGUCCAACGUUAAUCGGGGCAGGGUGAGUCGACCCCUAAGGCGAGGCCGAAAGGCGUAGUCGAUGGGAAACGGGUUAAUAUUCCCGUACUUGGUGUUACUGCGAAGGGGGGACGGAGAAGGCUAUGUUGGCCGGGCGACGGUUGUCCCGGUUUAAGCGUGUAGGUGUGUGUUCCAGGUAAAUCCGGUUCACUUUAACACUGAGGCGUGAUGACGAGGCACUACGGUGCUGAAGCAACAAAUGCCCUGCUUCCAGGAAAAGCCUCUAAGCAUCAGGUAACAUCAAAUCGUACCCCAAACCGACACAGGUGGUCAGGUAGAGAAUACCAAGGCGCUUGAGAGAACUCGGGUGAAGGAACUAGGCAAAAUGGUGCCGUAACUUCGGGAGAAGGCACGCUGACAC
RNAcentral lists this ribosomal RNA (558 nucleotides) under Salmonella enterica subsp. enterica serovar London. RNAcentral describes it as "partial 23S ribosomal RNA". It matches the Rfam family "Bacterial large subunit ribosomal RNA", at positions 1200 to 1757 of the family's 2925-position model. The record is from RNAcentral. Lineage: Bacteria; Pseudomonadati; Pseudomonadota; Gammaproteobacteria; Enterobacterales; Enterobacteriaceae.